This 467-nucleotide ribosomal RNA is filed under the name uncultured bacterium. Its description in RNAcentral is "partial 16S ribosomal RNA". It matches the Rfam family "Bacterial small subunit ribosomal RNA", at positions 28 to 506 of the family's 1533-position model. The record is from RNAcentral.
GACGAACGCUGGCGGCGUGCUUAACACAUGCAAGUCGAACGGAAAGGCCCUGCUUUGGUGGGGUGCUCGAGGGGCGAACGGGUGGGUAACACGUGAGUAACCUGCACCUGACUGUGGGAUAACUUCAGAAAACUGGGGCUAAUACCGCCUAGGAGCUCCUGCUGCAUGAUGGGGGUUGGAAGGUUUCGGCGGUUGGGAAUGGACACGCGUCUUAUCAGCUUGUUGGUUGGGUAGUGGCUUACCAAGACUUGGACGGGUAGCCGGCCGGUGAGGGUGACCGGCCAGAUUGGGACGGAGAUACGGCCCAGACUCAUACGGGCGGGAGGAGUGGGGAAUAUUGAACAAUGGGCGGACGCCUGCUGCAGCCACGCAGGGCGCGGGAGGACGGCCUUCGGGUGGUAAACCGCUUUCGCUUGUGCCGAAGCGUGAGUGACGGUACUGGGUAAAGAAGCACCGGCUACCUCCGU